Microcebus murinus (gray mouse lemur) is the source of this 92-nucleotide microRNA precursor. Ensembl annotates it as microRNA 1296. Lineage: Eukaryota; Metazoa; Chordata; Mammalia; Primates; Cheirogaleidae. The record is from Ensembl.
ACCUACCUAACUGGGUUAGGGCCCUGGCUCCAUCUCCUUUAGGAAAACCUUCUGUGGGGAGUGGGGCUUUGACCCUAACCCAGGUGGGCUGU